UUGGAAUUGUGCCAGCAGCCGCGGUAAAACGUAGGUCACAAGCGUUGUCCGGAAUUACUGGGUGUAAAGGGAGCGCAGGCGGGAAGACAAGUUGGAAGUGAAAUCUAUGGGCUCAACCCAUAAACUGCUUUCAAAACUGUUUUUCUUGAGUAGUGCAGAGGUAGGCGGAAUUCCCGGUGUAGCGGUGGAAUGCGUAGAUAUCGGGAGGAACACCAGUGGCGAAGGCGGCCUACUGGGCACCAACUGACGCUGAGGCUCGAAAGUGUGGGUAGCAAACAGG
RNAcentral lists this ribosomal RNA (280 nucleotides) under Faecalibacterium prausnitzii. RNAcentral's name for it is "partial 16S ribosomal RNA". It matches the Rfam family "Bacterial small subunit ribosomal RNA", at positions 495 to 776 of the family's 1533-position model. The record is from RNAcentral. Lineage: Bacteria; Bacillati; Bacillota; Clostridia; Eubacteriales; Oscillospiraceae.